This is a long non-coding RNA of Mobula hypostoma (lesser devil ray), 790 nucleotides long. RefSeq lists it as uncharacterized. The record is from RefSeq and is a predicted model, not a curated record. Lineage: Eukaryota; Metazoa; Chordata; Chondrichthyes; Myliobatiformes; Myliobatidae. The transcript is spliced from 3 exons.
CUUUUUUUGUUUGCAUGAUUUGUGUUUUCUCCCCCUCUUUCUCUGCACUUUGGGUGUUGGUCUUUUUUUCAAAUUGUUUAUUUUUUCGGGUUCCUUGCUUUGUGACUGCCUUCACGCAGACCAAUCUCAAGGGUUUGGGAUUCUCAGAAAGUCAGACUGGACCACUGCAAAUCCUCCACAAGCAGGUUGUUUGAUUUCUGGACCAGUGGUUCUCAGCGUCGGCCAUAUGUCCCCAAGUGGGUCACGGUGGAUAUUGUGGGGACCUCAAGUGAAAAAAAAAGAAAUGGGGGCCACAGGAGCAUCUGAAAGGGCCAUGAUUUUGGGAAUUCUGGUUGGUGAACAUGAAAGGUUGCAGUAGAAAAGCAGCAUCCAUCAUCAAAGAUCCUCACCACCCAGGCCAUGCUCUUUUCUUGCUGCUGCCAUCAGGGAGAAGGUACAAGAGCCUCAGGACUCACAUCACCAGGUUCAAGAACAGUUACUACGCCUCAACCAUCAAGCUCUUGAACAAAAGGGGAUAGUUACACUCAUUUAAGGACUCUUUUAAGAGCUCUGUUACAUUGUUAUUUCAUGUUUGUUAUUCGUUGCUAUUUUUUGCAUCUACAUUUGCAUAGUUUGUUUACAGUUUACAGUUCCUGAUGUUUACAGUUUACUGUUACUGUUCUAUAGUUUUGCUAAGCAUGCCCACAGAAAAAGAAUCUCAGGGUUGUAUGUGGUGACAUGUAUGUACUCUGAUAAUAAAUGAACUUUGAACUUUGUGAGCACUGGAAGAUAAUUCCUGAUCUGACCAAGU